Molecule: transfer RNA, 40 nt
Filed under: Natrix natrix (European grass snake)
Lineage: Eukaryota; Metazoa; Chordata; Lepidosauria; Squamata; Natricidae
Description: partial transfer RNA-Leu
Source: RNAcentral
UCUACCAAAGGAUAAUAGUAUUCCACUGGUCUUAGGCACC